GUUAACGCGGUUGUGUAUGGAUUAAAUGGUCAGCACGCUGUUUAGUGUGAUUAAAACCCUUUUUCCGAUGAUGACACCAGUUUAUAUUUGUUUAUAAACCUCUGAAAAAGCUGAACACAGUUAGAGCACAGGAACGAGGCUUUAGACCGCGUGAAACAAACAUUAAUCAACGGCGUUUUGAGAACAAACUCAAAACAAGCUGUGUAGUUUGUUUGGGCGCGCUCAGGCCGCGGGAGCCGAUUGGUGAUACCGAGUCCUCCAGUAGGUUAUAGUUAUAUUUCAUAAACUAGCAGACUGUAGGAGAUUAAGACCCUUAUUCCAGCCCCCUCCCCAGUCCCUGCUGGUGUAAAGAGAAGAGCAGUGGCCUGCUGAGUCCGUGGGUCUGGCUCUCCGGAUUCUAGCAAGGAGGUGUGGAGCUUCUUUGAGCCUGGAUAAUGGUGGAAAAAACGAUUUAUCGAUUUAUCGGUGUCACCCAGUCUAAAGAGUGUGUGGACAAACAUUUAAAAUUUCUGGAUCUCUGAACGCUCUGGGAGAACGGAGGUGUGCUAUUUAUCAAAGUUUCAAAAUAACAGAAAAAGAAAAGACUUAAGCUACAGUUGGAGCACCAUUCAAGCCUUCUCCUGCACUGUGGUCGAUGUUCUGAGUUCUGACCAGCUACUUAGAGGAACCCAUGAUUGCUGAUUCUUUACUGUCAGCAAAAAGGUACUGUACCGUCUUAUCUAUCUAGCUAUCAAGGAAGCAGGAGAAGCCAGAAAACUGUGCUGCUAAUGAA
This is a long non-coding RNA of Astyanax mexicanus (Mexican tetra), 772 nucleotides long. RefSeq lists it as uncharacterized. Lineage: Eukaryota; Metazoa; Chordata; Actinopteri; Characiformes; Acestrorhamphidae. The transcript has 4 exons. The record is from RefSeq and is a predicted model, not a curated record.